This 1637-nucleotide unclassified non-coding RNA is filed under the name Hevea brasiliensis (rubber tree). The record is from RNAcentral. Lineage: Eukaryota; Viridiplantae; Streptophyta; Magnoliopsida; Malpighiales; Euphorbiaceae.
UCCAGAAUUAAUACUACGCACACAUUACAUGAAUGCCCCACCAACCACUACUAAGGUGGCAAAAUACAGAGCUUUCUAGCCCCUCCCAUUAUUUCAGUACAAACACUAAAGCAGGAGUAAACAGAGUCCCGAAAUAUAAAACCAUUCAAGCAGCUGCAGCCUCCAGAAGCUCCUUCUCUGCUCGCUCACGGAUCCUCCUCUCCAGCUCUGGCCUGAAAUGCCGGAUCAACCCCUGCACCGGCCACGCAGCAGCAUCCCCCAGCGCACAAAUAGUGUGUCCUUCGAUCUGCUUGGUCACCUCCUGAAGCAUAUCGAUCUCCUCCAGUUUUGCAUUCCCCACCUUCAACCUCUCCAUGAUCAUCCAGAGCCACCCUGUACCCUCCCUGCAAGGUGUGCACUGCCCGCAGCUCUCGUGCUUGUAGAAAUAAGACAGGCGCGCAAUUGCAUCCACCACAUCGGUGGACUUGUCCAUGACAAUCACCGCAGCCGUGCCCAGCCCAGAUGUGACAGCCUUGAGCGCAUCGUAAUCCAUCAAGACGUCAUCGCAUAUAUGCUUGGGUAAUAGAGGAACGGACGAACCGCCCGGUAUAACUGCUAACAAGUUGUCCCAUCCACCCCUAACGCCCCCACAAUGCCUCUCCAACAACUCUUUCAGCGGAAUACUCAUCUCCUCCUCCACCGUGCAGGGCUUGUUCACAUGACCGGAUAUACAGAAUAGCUUUGUUCCUGAAUUGUUUUUGCGUCCGAAGCUAGCAAACCACUCCGGCCCUCGUCUUAGUAUCGUCGGAGAAACAGCCACAGUUUCGACAUUUGUCACUGUCGUCGGGCAGCCGUACAAUCCCGAAUUAGCAGGGAAUGGUGGCUUCAGUCUUGGCUUUCCCUGUCUCCCUUCCAGGCUCUCCAAUAGAGCUGUCUCUUCGCCGCAGAUAUACGCACCAGCACCAAAGUGAAUAUGCACGUCAAAGUCGUAGCCCGACCCACAUGCAUUCUUCCCCAGUAGCCCUGCUUUGUACGCUUCAACCCUUGCUUUCUCGAGAGUCAAACGCUCGUUUACAUACUCUCCUCUUAUGUAGAUGUAGGCAGCUGUUGCCCUCAUGCCAACCCCGGCGAUCAAGCACCCUUCAAGCAAUUUGUGUGGGUCGUGACGCAUAAUCUCUCGGUCUUUGCAUGUACCUGGCUCGCUCUCAUCAGCAUUAACUACGAGAUACGAAGGGCGGCCAUCGGAUACCUUGGGCAUGAAAGACCACUUGAGGCCGGAUGGGAAGCCAGCACCUCCACGGCCUCGGAGACCGGAUUUCUUCAUCUCAUUGACAAUCCAGUCGGCACCCUUGAGUACCAAGUCCUUGGUUCUGUACCAGUCACCUCGCUUCAUGGCACCUUUGAGCAAAGGGUCGUGCAACCCAUAAAGGUUGGUAAAUAUGCGGUCCUCGUCUUUCAGGCCGCCAAAGUGAGUCUUUUCUGCUGGUGGGGGUGGAGGUGGAGGCUGAGGAGUGCUUGCUGGAGCCUGAGUGCUGAAUGAUCGGCAAGCAUAACCUAAUCUCCCUCCGUGGGCACUUGAACUGGAAAAAAGCAUCUUCCGGCCCUGAUUCCUCAUCAGCUCCGAAAUGAACCUACAGCUCCCCAUUGAAUCGCGAAAC